GGUUCACCGGGAACAAGGGGAAUGGUUGGUCAAGCAGGAGAGAAAGGAGGGCAGGUAUUGUAAGCAUUUCAGUCUAAACAUGUUACGUAACACAAGAUUAAGCAUUUGAUUUAUAAUGCUCUUCUUUAGGGAUUGCCAGGACCUUCAGGUGAUCCUGGAUCCGUUGGAUUGGAUGGACCACAGGGCCAUCCUGGUCUAGUUGGUUUUGAGGGGCUAACAGGGCCAAAAGGAGAACAUGGAUCACGUGGACCCACUGGGAAGCCUGGUCCAAAUGGCCAUCUGGGAGAACAGGGACCUCAGGGCUCUCAGGGAAUGCUGGGUGCACCAGGACCACGUGGCAAAGAGGGAGGUAUUGGACCUCCAGGUGAUAUUGGUGAUCCUGGGCCUAAAGGACAAAAGGGUGAUCCUGGACAUCAAGGAUUCUCUGGACAACAAGGCCCAUCUGGAUUUUUGGGGGACAGAGGAGAGAGAGGACUGAAGGGGAAUAAAGGCUACAUUGGACCACAAGUUAGUGAUCUUGUUGAGCAAAACCCAUUUCUGUUGGACAGACCAACAUAACUAUUGUGCAC
Cyprinus carpio (common carp) is the source of this 569-nucleotide long non-coding RNA. NCBI's taxonomy places the organism in Eukaryota, Metazoa, Chordata, Actinopteri, Cypriniformes, Cyprinidae. The record is from Ensembl.